Molecule: RNA transcript, 1326 nt
Organism: Dendroctonus ponderosae (mountain pine beetle)
Lineage: Eukaryota; Metazoa; Arthropoda; Insecta; Coleoptera; Curculionidae
Gene name: glyoxylate reductase/hydroxypyruvate reductase-like
Exons: 2
Source: RefSeq, a predicted model, not a curated record
GCUUUUUAUUUGGUUGUUCAACCGGCGCCGACCUCGCCAGUUAAUUAUUAUGAUUCCCAAGUGGUAAUCGAGACUGAUAACAGUGAGAUAACACUGACUUUCACUAUUUAAAUUAUCAUAAACAUCUAGCAAGAGUUACGCACGCAGUGGAUCCACCAUGGCGCGCUUCAAAGUGUUAAUUUCCAACCCCACAGUGCCAGAAAUCGCCCAUAAUCUACUGAAAGAGAAGUGCGAUGUAAUUAUCAGUCCUGGUUUCGAUAAGGCUUCGAUAAUAUCGGUAAUUUCCGGAGUAGAUGCGCUUCUUUGGAGCGGCGGAGUUCCGCUAGACAAGCAAGUGCUGACGCAGCUGGACCUCGAGUGAAAGUUAUCGGGUUGAUGUCUGCAGGAUACAAUCACGUCGAUUUGCAAGAAGUUAAAGCAAAAGGGAUCAAAAUUGGAAACACUCCUGUGGUACUUAACAAUGCUGUGGCUGAUAAGGCCGUUUUGCUGGCUUUAGGCGCAGCUCAAAGAGUAACGGAAGGACGCUGGCAUAUUGAAAGAGGCACAUGGAACAGUUUCUUCGAUGCCCAAUGGAUGUUGGGGCAAGACAUUUCCGGUUCUACAGUGGGAAUAAUCGGCUUCGGAGGCAUCGGCCAGGCGAUUGCUCGAAGACUCAAAGCCUUCGAUAUAUGCAAGCUGCUUUACACGGGACACAAAGAGAAGCCAGAAGCACAGCAACUAGGAGCAACAUUUGUGGAUCAGGACACUCUGGUUAAGAACAGCGACUUUAUUUUCUUGGCAGCUCCACUCUCAGAAGAAACCAGAGAAAUGUGCAACGAAGAUUUUUUUUGUAAGAUGAAGAAAACAGGCGUUUUAAUCAACAUUAGUCGGGGGCAGUUGGUCGACCAACCAGCUCUAAUAAAAGCGCUUAAGAAUGGGGAAAUAUUCGCUGCUGGCUUAGAUGUGACGACUCCUGAACCAUUGAAUACAGACAGCGAACUCCUGAAGCUCCCCAAUGUGUUUCUAACGCCGCACUUGGGAAGCGCUACUAAAAAAACUCGAAACGCAAUGGCUGAGCUCGCGGCUAAGAAUAUUUUGCUGGGAUUAGCUGACCAACCGCUUUUGAGUCCAGUGAUUUUGUAAUUUUUCUUAUAGUUUUAUGUCUUAAUUCAAAUAAGACGUGCCGAUAAUUAAUGCUGAAUUGUGCGUGCUUGAAAUUUGUCUUAAAGCUUUUUAUACUGUGUAAAUAAAAUAUUUUAAAUUACUUCUAAAACCAGUUAAAAAGUAUUAAAUUAAAACUAUUUGCACUACUUGAAAUACGAAUAAACAAAAGGGAUAAUUUCAAAA